UACGUAGGGUGCGAGCGUUAAUCGGAAUUACUGGGCGUAAAGCGUGCGCAGGCGGUUCGCUGUGUCCGAUGUGAAAGCCCCGGGCUUAACCUGGGAAUGGCAUUGGAAACUGGCGGGCUUGAGUGCGGCAGAGGGGGGUGGAAUUCCGCGUGUAGCAGUGAAAUGCGUAGAGAUGCGGAGGAACACCGAUGGCGAAGGCAGCCCCCUGGGUCGACACUGACGCUCAGGCACGAAAGCGUGGGGAGCAAAC
Molecule: ribosomal RNA, 250 nt
Filed under: uncultured bacterium
Lineage: Bacteria
Description: partial 16S ribosomal RNA
Rfam family: Bacterial small subunit ribosomal RNA
Source: RNAcentral